Molecule: ribosomal RNA, 638 nt
Filed under: uncultured bacterium
Lineage: Bacteria
Description: bacterial SSU rRNA
Rfam family: Bacterial small subunit ribosomal RNA
Source: RNAcentral
AGAGUUUGAUCCUGGCUCAGAGCGAACGCUGGCGGCAGGCUUAACACAUGCAAGUCGAACGAAGUCUUCGGACUUAGUGGCAGACGGGUGAGUAACGCGUGGGAACGUGCCCAUCGGUUCGGAAUAACCAAGGGAAACUUUGGCUAAUACCGGAUACGCCCCUUGGGGGAAAGAUUUAUCGCCGAUGGAUCGGCCCGCGUCUGAUUAGCUAGUUGGUGAGGUAAUGGCUCACCAAGGCGACGAUCAGUAGCUGGUCUGAGAGGAUGAUCAGCCACACUGGGACUGAGACACGGCCCAGACUCCUACGGGAGGCAGCAGUGGGGAAUAUUGGACAAUGGGCGCAAGCCUGAUCCAGCCAUGCCGCGUGAGUGAUGAAGGCCUUAGGGUUGUAAAGCUCUUUUAUCCGGGACGAUAAUGACGGUACCGGAAGAAUAAGCCCCGGCUAACUUCGUGCCAGCAGCCGCGGUAAUACGAAGGGGGCUAGCGUUGUUCGGAAUUACUGGGCGUAAAGCGCACGUAGGCGGCGAUUCAAGUCAGAGGUGAAAGCCCGGGGCUCAACCUCGGAACUGCCUUCAAAACUAUCGGUCUGGAGUUCGAGAGAGGUGAGUGGAAUUCCGAGUGUAGAGGUGAAAUUCGUA